UGGGGAGGCCUUAUACAUGCAAGUCGAACGCUUUGUGGUUCAACUGAUUUGAAGAGCUUGCUCAGAUAUGACGAUGGACAUUGCAAAGAGUGGCGAACGGGUGAGUAACACGUGGGAAACCUACCUCUUAGCAGGGGAUAACAUUUGGAAACAGAUGCUAAUACCGUAUAACAAUGACAACCGCAUGGUUGUUAUUUAAAAGAUGGUUCUGCUAUCACUAAGAGAUGGUCCCGCGGUGCAUUAGCUAGUUGGUAAGGUAAUGGCUUACCAAGGCGAUGAUGCAUAGCCGAGUUGAGAGACUGAUCGGCCACAAUGGGACUGAGACACGGCCCAUACUCCUACGGGAGGCAGCAGUAGGGAAUCUUCCACAAUGGGCGAAAGCCUGAUGGAGCAACGCCGCGUGUGUGAUGAAGGGUUUCGGCUCGUAAAACACUGUUGUAAGAGAAGAAUGACAUUGAGAGUAACUGUUCAAUGUGUGACGGUAUCUUACCAGAAAGGAACGGCUAAAUACGUGCCAGCAGCCGCGGUAAUACGUAUGUUCCAAGCGUUAUCCGGAUUUAUUGGGCGUAAAGCGAGCGCAGACGGUUAUUUAAGUCUGAAGUGAAAGCCCUCAGCUCAACUGAGGAAUUGCUUUGGAAACUGGAUGACUUGAGUGCAGUAGAGGAAAGUGGAACUCCAUGUGUAGCGGUGAAAUGCGUAGAUAUAUGGAAGAACACCAGUGGCGAAGGCGGCUUUCUGGACUGUAACUGACGUUGAGGCUCGAAAGUGUGGGUAGCAAACAGGAUUAGAUACCCUGGUAGUCCACACCGUAAACGAUGAGUGCUAGGUGUUUGAGGGUUUCCGCCCUUAAGUGCCGCAGCUAACGCAUUAAGCACUCCGCCUGGGGAGUACGACCGCAAGGUUGAAACUCAAAGGAAUUGACGGGGACCCGCACAAGCGGUGGAGCAUGUGGUUUAAUUCGAAGCAACGCGAAGAACCUUACCAGGUCUUGACAUCCCUUGACAACUCCAGAGAUGGAGCGUUCCCUUCGGGGACAAGGUGACAGGUGGUGCAUGGUUGUCGUCAGCUCGUGUCGUGAGAUGUUGGGUUAAGUCCCGCAACGAGCGCAACCCUUAUUACUAGUUGCCAGCAUUCAGUUGGGCACUCUAGUGAGACUGCCGGUGACAAACCGGAGGAAGGUGGGGAUGACGUCAAAUCAUCAUGCCCCUUAUGACCUGGGCUACACACGUGCUACAAUGGCGUAUACAACGAGUUGCCAACCCGCGAGGGUGAGCUAAUCUCUUAAAGUACGUCUCAGUUCGGAUUGUAGGCUGCAACUCGCCUACAUGAAGUCGGAAUCGCUAGUAAUCGCGGAUCAGCACGCCGCGGUGAAUACGUUCCCGGGUCUUGUACACACCGCCCGUCACACCAUGAGAGUUUGUAACACCCAAAGCCGGUGGGGUAACCUUCGGGAGCCCCAAGCCCU
RNAcentral lists this ribosomal RNA (1465 nucleotides) under Weissella confusa. RNAcentral describes it as "bacterial SSU rRNA". It matches the Rfam family "Bacterial small subunit ribosomal RNA". The record is from RNAcentral. Lineage: Bacteria; Bacillati; Bacillota; Bacilli; Lactobacillales; Lactobacillaceae.